Molecule: long non-coding RNA, 2019 nt
Organism: Diospyros lotus (date-plum)
Lineage: Eukaryota; Viridiplantae; Streptophyta; Magnoliopsida; Ericales; Ebenaceae
Exons: 2
Source: RefSeq, a predicted model, not a curated record
UUCAUUUCUUAUUCUAAUUUUACCUAAAAAAUUAUGUUUACUCUCACCACAUUCCAUAGAGCCGUUGAGAAAUGUGGGGAGCAAAACAUAGCUCCUCAACUGUAGGGAGCGAUUUCAAGCCCCACAAAAAUUUGAGGAGUGACUUGACAGGUAGGGAGCAGCGUUGGAGCAAAAAUUUUGAGAAAUACUCUCCGAAUUUUGACUUAGGGAGGCUGCUGGCUCUGCGUUGGAGAUGGCCCUGCUUUUACGGAGCCCUGUUCCCUACACCUUGACAAGUACUCAUCUGAAUUGCGUACGCAAGAGCUUGAUUUGCGUGGGAAAUGAUCGGGGCUCCUAUGGAACUGAUUUGUUUUUAUGGAACCCUUCUAUCAGGAAAUUUGUUACCCUUCCGACGCCUGGAAUCACUUUUAAAUCUCACGGUGCAUAUGUGUUUGUUUUUGGAUUUGGGUUUGAUUCCAAAAGCAAUGGUUACAAGGUGAUGAGAAUUGUUUAUCUUCAAGGAAGAAAUGGGUUCAAGAAGGUUCCGCCUGAGGUCGAGCUUUAUGAGCUGAGUACUGGUACUUGGAGGGUGAUUGCUACUGUUGCGCCUCAUUACGUGAUGUGUAACUAUUUAUUACAGGCUAAGAUGAGUGGUGCUGUGCACUGGCUUGCAUCCAGUUCAACCCAGAUCAGCGGGGUUGCUACUAUGAUUGUGGUUUUUGACUCGAGUGAUGAGGUGUUUAAGGAGGUGAAUUUGCCGAACAAAUUAGCCCACAAAUCUUCUCUUGAAAUAUCUAUUGCAGCACGUGGCGAAUCCCUUGCUUUGUUCCACUACUAUUGAAGUUCUUCUUCCAUUGGGUGUUGUAGUGUUUGGGUGCUGGAAAAAUAUGGCAUGGAUGAUUCUUGGACUAAACUUUUCAAUAUGGAAUUGUUGCGAGGAGUAGACAUGGUGUUAGGAUUCAAAAAGAAUGGUGAACUUCUAAUAGUAACAGUCGAUGACAAACUACUGUCUUAUGACCCAGAUGAUGAACAAGUUAAGGAUCUUGGAAUUCGUGGGAGAACGCGCACUUCUGCUACGCGUGAAAGUUCAUUGUAUGUUUAUUCUUACAUUGAAAGCCUAGUUCUACUCAGGGGCGGAUUUAGGGGGGGGGGGGGGGGCAGGCACGGGCUGCAGCCCCCCCCCAAGAUUCAGCCCUCCCCCAGAUUUGCAAGGGAGGAGGGCUGAAAUGGGUUAUGGAUCUGGGGGCCAGCCCUCCCCCAGAUCUACUCCUAGAUCCGCCCCUGGUUCUACUUGAUAGAGCUUAUGUGGUAUUGGGCUAUGAUUUGGUCCCUGGUUUGCUUGGAGAGGAUGACAGUGAAAUCAAGGACUGUCAGUGAUCCAAAAUGCUUCAGGCAAAAGCUACAAUUGUGGGGCAUCCUUGAAGGGAGCUUUUGAGUACAAGCCUCUGUUUUGGUGAUGCUCUGAUGGAUAUCUAGACAUCACUGGAAGUAUAUAGUAGAAUGCAUAAGGCCAUCUCUAGGAGAAAGCUCUGCCAUCCAUCGGACAAUACAUGUCGGUCGGUACUAGUAUAAAUAGAUUGUUAUGUAAUGUUUUCCCAUGUUUUCCGUCAUCAACUCCCCUCCUGCGAAUAUAUAUAUAUAUAUAUAUAGCGAAGUGAAAAAUAAAAGGGAUAACGAUUCUGGCCCAUUUUGAAGAAGAUUCAUCGUCAACUGUAGCAAGUGAAUGAAUAGAAGGCAGGCUGUGUUAUGAAAGAGGAGCACAAGACCACAAGCAUCAGCUACUGAAGAUGCUUGUGUGGGUAUGCAGUAGUUUGUUUGCUUUGUUGGCUGUUCAAACUUAAAUGGUUGAAUAGAAGAUAUUGUUCCUUAGUAUCAGUUGUGGAUUGUAUUUUGCUUUAUCAGUUACCCAAUACUUAGGUGUCUUUGCUGUGGGUAUGGCCAUGCUUUACAACUAUGGAUGUAACCAAUACAGUACCCAGCUCUGUAUUAGUCUUCUGAAGGACGUUACAGUGAUUUAUGUGAAUCAACUUUUGUCUUUUA